ACCUGCCCUAUGNNNAGUUNNNAUUAAAUGGCUGCGGUAUUUUGACCGUGCAAAGGUAGCAUAAUAAUUAGUUUUUUAAUUGGGAACUGGAAUGAAUGGUUGGACGAGAAAAAUACUGUCUCAAUUUAAAUUUAAUUAGAAUUUUAUUUUUAAGUAAAAAAGCUUAAAUAAAUUUAAAAGACGAGAAGACCCUAUAGAGUUUUAUAUAAAAUANUAAUAUUUGAAANNGUUAAAGNNUAUAAUAAUUUUNAUUUAUUAUUUUUNUUGUAUUUAAUUGGGGUGAUUGAAAAAUUUAAUUAACUUUUUUUUNNNNAUUAAAAUCAUAAAUUUAUGAAUAAUUGAUCCAUNUAUUAAUGAUUAUAAGAUU
This 367-nucleotide ribosomal RNA is filed under the name Epactoides incertus. Its description in RNAcentral is "partial 16S ribosomal RNA". The record is from RNAcentral. Lineage: Eukaryota; Metazoa; Arthropoda; Insecta; Coleoptera; Scarabaeidae.